CAUUCCAUAGGCAGUGGCUAACAAGGUCAGAUUUUUUUCUUUACUCAAAUUUGUAUGUAGUUUAUGAUGCAUUGGAAAUUUUAUAUUAAAACUGCAAAAGCUUGUUGAUUUUGAUGAAUAUAAGGAAAAUAGACAAAACAUGGACAAAAUGUCUCAAUAUUUUGUUGAAUAAUCUGACAUAUCUAAGAAAAGAAUAAACCCUAGUCAUGUUUAAUAAAAUCCUUGAGCUUAGCACUAAACUUUAAAGAAAUUGAAAAUUAAGGUCCCGUUUGGUAGCCAUUUUUUUCAAAAUACAUUUUUUUUCUCUUCUUUUCAACCAUACAUUCUUUAUUAAAAUAAUAUUACACGUAAAUAAAAAAAUUUUUCUUAUUUCUCAACCACACAUUUCACAUCAAUUUACUAUUUUAAAAUGUAUUUUUACAUAAAAAUGCCUAUCAAACACCCCCUAAGUUCUUCGUCUCCUAGCAAAAUGUUUAAUAAGUUUAUAAAUAGUCCCGAUCUCUAUGAGACUUUGGAGCUUAGAGAGGUGUUUUUCAAUUUGUUGCAGAUGGGUUUUUUGGCCGAAGCAGGGCUGUGCAAAUUUUCGUAUUAAAUCAUUUGUGUGCCAUAUUUUACAAUUAUUCUUGCACUAUUGUCGGUAUUUUCUCGUUGCUUUUUAUUUGUUUGAAAGUUUGUCUUUUUUGUCUACUAUUGAAAAAAUUACUAGAUUUGUGGAGAUUUAGAGGUUAUGAAUGUUCUUAAUUUGUUAGAAGAAUUUGCUUACUGCACAGACUAGAUAUAAAGAUUUUAAUCGAUUUGAUUAUUGGAAACUUAUUGAAUGUGGUGAGAAUUUAAAAUUUCUGACUUUUAAAGCCAUUUUCUUGAAUAAAAGUUGUUGGUACUUGGAGCACAAAAGAAAAUGUGUUGAUGUUCUUAUGGAAUAUUUUUUGAGAAAAGGAAAUGCAGUUAUAUUCUUACAUAUAGCUGUUGAGAAGUGUCUUAACAGGACUCACAGGAUACGAGAGUUAAAAGUGUUGUGAUCAACUUGUUGGUUUUGUUAUAACACACCGUCAAAUUUUGCAUUUAUGUUGAUUUUGGAGGGUCUAAUUUAUGAACUUCACCUUGAGCUUUGACAAUCAUAGGACCGACCCUGCCAUUUCUUGAGUAUUCAUAAACGCUUCCCAACCAAUUGGUUAGAUAAUUAGAUUAUUUAUAUGUUUAAGUUAUUAAUAUAAUUAAUCAAUUUCUAUAUAAUUGUGUUAUUCGAAUAAAGUUAGCAUUAAAAUCUAUUUGAAUAUUUAAUCCUCGUGUGAUUGAUAAUUAGACUCAUGUCUACUUUUAAUACUUGUUUAUGACUGUAUUCACUUCAGAAAUUUUAGUGCAAUAAUUACAAACAAAGCCUCAUUUAACCUGAGACAAAGGCGAGUGAAAUUGAAUAAUGUGAAUGGUCUUGAAUAAUGAACAAAUGAUGUGUAUUUAUUAUAGAUCAUGGUGUAAUUCUAUAAGGAUUAUGAUGCCAAUGGAUCGAUAAAAUUUAUUAUAACAAAUGAUAACAAAUGCCAACUCAAGUUCCAUGGAGAAACAAGCUCUUCAGGAUUUCGAUAUCUUCUCUUAAGAAAGUCUAAGAAAUAGAGUCGUGCAUGCCGGCCGAAAGAAUUUUUCAAAUGCUUUUCAAGCAUGUAUGUAAGAGUUAAUUCCAAGACUUCAUGGAACCAUGUAUACAAGAAUGGAUCAAGGGUGGCCUCGCAUAAUGAACUGAAGGGAAGAUAUAAAUAUACAUCAUUUAACAUGUAGGAGAAGGAAUUCUAUGAACAUGAUGUAAGAAAUUUAAAUGGCAUGCUAUUUUUCCUUUCUAAUACUAUCGAAUCGAUGUUAUUACUUGAAUUUCACUUCUAUUUCCAAUAUGUAUUUCGUAGAUUAAGGUAAGGAUAUUGAGCUGCCAAGGGCAUAUAUGGAUGUGCUUAUUCCUCGCAUCAUGAAGAGAUUCAAGUGUUGGAAAAAAUUGAGUGA
Molecule: long non-coding RNA, 1989 nt
Filed under: Olea europaea subsp. europaea
Lineage: Eukaryota; Viridiplantae; Streptophyta; Magnoliopsida; Lamiales; Oleaceae
Source: RNAcentral